GCCUGCCCAAUGGUUGUAUCUAAAAACGGUUGAUAAAAGUCGACUUUAUAAGGACAAUUGAAUGGCCGCGGUAACACUGACCGUGAUAAUGUAGCGUAAUCAAUAGCCAAUUAAUUGUUGGCCAGUAUGAAUGGCGUCACGAAGGCCCCACUGUCUUAAGAGAAUUCCCAGUGAAAUUGAAUUCGUAGUGAAGAUGCUACGUCCAAUUUGUUAGACGAAAAGACCCCAUUGAGCUUUACUGGAGACUUACAUUGCUCGGAUCGACUCUCGCCCCCAGGGGGGGGGUCGAAUUUAAAUGGAUAGCUUAGAUUAUGUGGUGUCAUAACCAUCGAUCAAGUAGUCCCUACGGGAUUGCCCCGAAGGUAGACCUGUUUGGGUGAAUGAAACCCCACUCUUUUAUGUUAAAUGAGCUAACCCUUUCUCUCUUAAGGGGGACAAUGUAAGUUGGACAGUUUGGUUGGGGCGACCGCCUUUUAAAGAGUAACGAAGGUGUGCUUAAGGUACACAAUUAAUAUCAGUAGCCUGACUGCGAGGGGGAUUCCCCCGAGCAGACACCUAAAGUCUUCUCUCUUCCUCCCCGAAGGUUAAAGACGAAUGGUGGGUUAUAGUGACCCGUUAAUUUAGAGUGGAAUAG
Molecule: ribosomal RNA, 634 nt
Filed under: Epizoanthus illoricatus
Lineage: Eukaryota; Metazoa; Cnidaria; Anthozoa; Zoantharia; Epizoanthidae
Description: partial 16S large subunit ribsomal RNA
Rfam family: Bacterial large subunit ribosomal RNA
Source: RNAcentral